Molecule: non-coding RNA, 232 nt
Organism: Pelobates cultripes (western spadefoot toad)
Lineage: Eukaryota; Metazoa; Chordata; Amphibia; Anura; Pelobatidae
Source: the annotation of a GenBank genome assembly
UUUCAAAGCUGCACAUGCAGACUCCAGGCACCAUGACCACUUUAAAUCACUGAAGUGGUCAUGGUGGUUGGAGAAGCCUAUUAUAGCAUUGUUCUCCAGCUCUCUGCAUAGAGUCAUGUUAAGCUAUUACUAAUGAGUCAUGUAUGUCUUUUGUAAGACAGAGCCUGUAUGACACCCUCCAACUCUGUAAUGUCAGGAAUAUAGGUGGUGACACAUUAUAUUUUUAUGAAAG